UUUGCUAAACAUAGGGAUUUAUCUUUUGGUUAUAAUUAUUAUUUGCCUAACCCCAAAGGACCCAAAAAGAUUUGGGUACCAAAAACCUCUCCGUAGGUAUUUUUGCAGGUGUGCUUGAAGACUACAAAAUUGUAGUAGAUGCGUCAAGCACGACACCCAAAGGCAUCGAGAGGAAUUUCGGUUAGCUAUUCUUUUUGAUAAAACCGAAUAUGUGCGAGUUAUUAAUGUUGACAGAUUUGUUG
RNAcentral lists this long non-coding RNA (242 nucleotides) under Nicotiana benthamiana. RNAcentral's name for it is "long non-coding RNA (NBEN_LNC027403)". The record is from RNAcentral. Lineage: Eukaryota; Viridiplantae; Streptophyta; Magnoliopsida; Solanales; Solanaceae.